AACGAACGCUGGCGGCAUGCCUAACACAUGCAAGUCGAACGAGACCUUCGGGUCUAGCGGCGCACGGGUGCGUAACGCGUGGGAACCUGCCCUUAGGUUCGGAAUAACUUCCCGAUAGGGGUGCUAAUACCGGAUAAUGUCUUCGGACCAAAGAUUUAUCGCCUUUGGAUGGGCCCGCGUUGGAUUAGCUAGUUGGUAGGGUAAAAGCCUACCAAGGCGACGAUCCAUAGCUGGUCUGAGAGGAUGAUCAGCCACACUGGGACUGAGACACGGCCCAGACUCCUACGGGAGGCAGCAGUGGGGAAUAUUGGACAAUGGGCGAAGGCCUGAUCCAGCAAUGCCGCGUGAGUGAUGAAGGCCUUAGGGUUGUAAAGCUCUUUUACCCGGGAUGAUAAUGACAGUACCGGGAGAAUAAGCUCCGGCUAACUCCGUG
RNAcentral lists this ribosomal RNA (433 nucleotides) under uncultured bacterium. RNAcentral describes it as "partial 16S ribosomal RNA". It matches the Rfam family "Bacterial small subunit ribosomal RNA", at positions 29 to 507 of the family's 1533-position model. The record is from RNAcentral.